UAGAUUGAAGCCAGUUGUAUAGGGUGUUUAGCUGUUAACUAAUUUUUUCGUGGGGUUAGAACCCACCAAUCUAG
This is a non-coding RNA of Carlito syrichta (Philippine tarsier), 74 nucleotides long. The record is from Ensembl. NCBI's taxonomy places the organism in Eukaryota, Metazoa, Chordata, Mammalia, Primates, Tarsiidae.